RNAcentral lists this transfer RNA (33 nucleotides) under Craugastor laticeps (broad-headed rainfrog). RNAcentral describes it as "partial tRNA-Met". Lineage: Eukaryota; Metazoa; Chordata; Amphibia; Anura; Craugastoridae. The record is from RNAcentral.
CCAAACAUGUCGGCUAACCACCCUCCUUUACAA